Molecule: ribosomal RNA, 255 nt
Filed under: Shewanella sp. Zu_4_e_1
Lineage: Bacteria; Pseudomonadati; Pseudomonadota; Gammaproteobacteria; Alteromonadales; Shewanellaceae
Description: partial 16S ribosomal RNA
Rfam family: Bacterial small subunit ribosomal RNA
Source: RNAcentral
UGCAGUCGAGCGGCAGCACAAGGGAGUUUACUCCUGAGGUGGCGAGCGGCGGACGGGUGAGUAAUGCCUAGGGAUCUGCCCAGUCGAGGGGGAUAACAGUUGGAAACGACUGCUAAUACCGCAUACGCCCUACGGGGGAAAGGAGGGGACCUUCGGGCCUUCCGCGAUUGGAUGAACCUAGGUGGGAUUAGCUAGUUGGUGAGGUAAUGGCUCACCAAGGCGACGAUCCCUAGCUGUUCUGAGAGGAUGAUCAGC